UAAAUACACUAUUAGUACACGAUGCUCAACAUUAAAAGAGGAAGAAAGAAUAAACUUCGCGCCCGCCGGGGACCCAAACCUUCUGAAUUUUUUAAUAAGUAUCUUCUGAGUGGUUAAAAAAAAUGAAUCAAAACUUUCAACAACGGAUCUCUUGGUUCUGGCAUCGAUGAAAAACGCAGCGAAAUGCGAUAAGUAAUGUGAAUUGCAGAAUUCAGUGAAUCAUCGAAUCUUUGAACGCACAUUGCGCCCGUCAGUAUUCUGGCGGGCAUGCCUGUUCGAGCGUCAUUACGCCCCUCAAGUCCCCUGUGGACUUGGUGUUGGGGAUCGGCGAGGCUGGUUUUCCAGCACAGCCGUCCCUUAAAUUGAUUGGCGGUCUCGCCGUGGCCCUCCUCUGCGCAGUAGUAAAACACUCGCAACAGGAGCCCGGCGCGGUCCACUGCCGUAAAACCCCCCAACUUUUUAUAGUUGACCUCGAAUCAGGUAGGACUACCCGCUGAACUUAAGCAUAUCAAAAGCCGGGGAAGAAAAA
RNAcentral lists this ribosomal RNA (529 nucleotides) under Metarhizium guizhouense. Its description in RNAcentral is "eukaryotic LSU rRNA". The stretch from base 132 to 285 matches the Rfam family "5.8S ribosomal RNA". Lineage: Eukaryota; Fungi; Ascomycota; Sordariomycetes; Hypocreales; Clavicipitaceae. The record is from RNAcentral.